CAGAGAACAAAAUGUGAUUCAUGCUCAGUGGCUUAUAUCUCAAGGUGUUGCAGUAACAUGAUGUCCUUGUGGAAUGUGGACACCUCAAGGCAGCUUUAAGUCACAUGAAAGAAUCCAUGUUGUCUCAGGUGUCUUUCCUACAAUCCAUCACGAGAAAUAAAAAUAGAAACCUGAAAAACCUGACAGGGAGACAACUGUUGACAGACAGUAAGAUGAUACCAAACAUUAUUGCAAUUAAUGCAGAUAUUUCAGAAAAAUUUGGUAUUGGACGGGUUGAUGAAAACUGUUUGAGUUCAUAUUGAAAUCUUAGAAUUUGAUUGCAGACUUCUGAGUACAAUGUGAGAUAUUGUUGACACGUCUGCUAAAACUCUAGGGGAGACAUGUCAGAUUACAGGGUCUUUUUCUCUGGAGAAAAUUUAGGAAAAACCUUAGCAAAAUGCUCCAUUUAAUCUCAUUGCAGUUUUGGAGGAACAUUCUCCUUUCCUAUUGGAUAUUUAGUAUAUGAAGUGUGCCAUGAGUCAUGGUAUGAAUGAGCUUUUGAAUGAGAAUGAAUCCUCUGUUUUGUGCAUAACUAAUCAACUCCAAUAGAAGAUUCAACUCUUAAUUUUAAUUAAGAGGUGAACAUUUGUCACUGUAGGUAGCAUCAUCAUGCCCUUUCUGCAGCUGAAGGUCUAAACAUGCAUUUAUGCUGUCAUUUUCCCUCUGUUAUCGUGCAUGUCAGCUCUGCUGUAAUUGAGCCCCAUCCCUCAGGCUACACAUACUGUGGCUUGUCGUGGGGUGUUCUGAUAAUUCUUCAAGUCAAAGGGAGGAGGGUGGGGGUCUGCGUUGGUCGCUCUGAAUUCUGAAUAUCAUCCUUCAACAAUAAUCAUGGUUUGAAUCAGCAUUUAAAAUGGAUCAAAAGUUUUCAUGAGGUUUUCAGAGGAGAAUUAGGUUUUUAAAAGGCCGCACCCUCCUAUCCAUGUCAAAGCAUGUGUUGAAACAGAUCCCUUCUGACAUCAGUCAUUGCCUUACUUUUUAUAUUCCUUUCAAAACUAGGGUGGUACCCUAAAGAAGUGUACUAAAAUAGCAAAAAACUAACUCACAUUUUCCAGUGCAAUGUGAAAAAUAAUUGUACACAAAUUUUAGGUCCAGUCAUGGAAUCUGAUGGACCCUUUUCACAUUUCUGAAGUUCCGCUUCUCUCCAAUUGCAAAAGAAAAAUACAUUUUCCAAAAAAGGAAAAAUAGAGAGAAUAUGGUUAUGUCAAAUGUUGAAUCUGUCCCAGCCAUUGUAUUAGAAACACCCUCACAACAGUGUUUAAUGACUGUUAAGUUAAUAUUAAAAGUAAAAGUAAUAAAUUAUAGUGUUGUAAAUGUACAUUAAUUAAACACACACACACACACACACACACACAAACACAUACACAUACUUUGCUAGAUUUACAAUGUUAAUACAUAUGCUAUUUAAAAUUAAUAUAUACUUGUAUUUUGGAUUAAAUGUCACAUGCAUUAACUUCAUAAAUGCAUGUUUAUUAAUAAAACAUUGUG
Molecule: long non-coding RNA, 1524 nt
Organism: Cyprinus carpio carpio
Lineage: Eukaryota; Metazoa; Chordata; Actinopteri; Cypriniformes; Cyprinidae
Source: Ensembl